Molecule: long non-coding RNA, 1155 nt
Organism: Ctenopharyngodon idella (grass carp)
Lineage: Eukaryota; Metazoa; Chordata; Actinopteri; Cypriniformes; Xenocyprididae
Exons: 3
Source: RefSeq, a predicted model, not a curated record
CUCUGAUCAUGCACUCUUAAUACACCAUUUUACAUAGUCACAAAUAUAGUUUAAUAUAGACUGUGUGUUACUGAGUGUUGAUAAAGAAUGAAAAUGGAACAGAAAAAAAAAAAUAAUCCAGAAUUUAAAAUCUAUAUGAUUCUUGACCCUCUACUACUUAAACCAACAACACAAAUGAGCACAGUUACAAAUAUUAACAUUAAUGUGGCCGAGCAUUACUAUCGUGAUCAUUUCCAAGCAGUACCAUUUAACUGUGUAACAUUAAAUUAAUAUGUCAUUUAUCUCCACAUUGUUUUAAUCUAAAAGGUGUUUGACCUGUAUAUUGCAUUAAAAGCCAGGAGGCCUUUCUGCGUUGAGUUUGCAUGUAUAUAAAGACAUGCAGGAUAGGUGAAUUGGAGACUAAUUUGUCUGUAGGGGUGUGUGUGUGUUAGCUCUGUGAUGGACAGGCCAUCAAUCCAUCCUCCCUAUGGCACGAGAUGCUGAUAUAGUCUCCAGUAUUACUGCGACCCUGCAUAGAAAAUGAAUAGAUGGAUGCCCUGUGUGACCAGAAUUAUACUGGACAAAUAGUUUCUGUCACAUCAUACAGUGCUCUAUAACUUAGACAGUGAUAUGAGCUGUGACCAGUCUCUGUCUUCCACUGGAGUUGCUCCUGUCAGUUUUAUGGUCUGUGUGUGACCUAAACAUUCAGUUAUAAAAGCAUUCAAAGCUGCUGUAGGUUAAGAUAUGACAGACGAGCUUCAGCCUUGACUGGAUGUGUGUCGUGUCUACUUUGAUAAGACUUUGUGGAGCCAUGUAGAUAUAAAAAGUACUUGACAUCAUGUGACUAUAGCCAAAACAUUUAGCCUUACAGACAUUUAUCUUGACCAGUCAGCAGACCUCAGUUUUCCCUCACUGCUGUACAGUUGUGAUAUUCAGUGCUCACUCUGUGUUUGAGCUUUCGUAAAAAAUAGUUUAAACAUUUCAAAAUGAACAACCAAGCAGAACAAGAGAGAGAGAGAGAGAGAGAGCAGGUUCAGCAUUUGUAAUGAUGCCAUUUGUUCAAGCAUUACUGCUUCUCUGUGUACCAGUUUUACCUCUUCUUCAAUCAAAAUUAAAAUGUCUCCGCCGAAGAUGGAUAACAUUAUUGUGGAUAAUAACAAUAACACUCCUGGAUAU